This 625-nucleotide ribosomal RNA is filed under the name Paenibacillus odorifer. RNAcentral describes it as "bacterial LSU rRNA". It matches the Rfam family "Bacterial large subunit ribosomal RNA", at positions 2294 to 2925 of the family's 2925-position model. The record is from RNAcentral. Lineage: Bacteria; Bacillati; Bacillota; Bacilli; Caryophanales; Paenibacillaceae.
AGAGUAACGGAGGCGUUCCAAGGUUCCCUCAGAAUGGUUGGAAAUCAUUCGCAGAGUGCAAAGGCAUAAGGGAGCUUGACUGCGAGACCUACAAGUCGAGCAGGGACGAAAGUCGGACUUAGUGAUCCGGUGGUACCGCAUGGAAGGGCCAUCGCUCAACGGAUAAAAGCUACCCUGGGGAUAACAGGCUUAUCUCCCCCAAGAGUCCACAUCGACGGGGAGGUUUGGCACCUCGAUGUCGGCUCAUCGCAUCCUGGGGCUGAAGUAGGUCCCAAGGGUUGGGCUGUUCGCCCAUUAAAGCGGUACGCGAGCUGGGUUCAGAACGUCGUGAGACAGUUCGGUCCCUAUCUGUCGUGGGCGCAGGAAAUUUGAGAGGAGCUGUCCUUAGUACGAGAGGACCGGGAUGGACGUACCGCUGGUGCACCAGUUGUUCCGCCAGGAGCAUGGCUGGGUAGCUACGUACGGACGGGAUAAGCGCUGAAAGCAUCUAAGCGUGAAGCCCCCCUCAAGAUGAGAUUUCCCAAUUAGUAAGACCCCUUGAAGACGACGAGGUAGAUAGGUUGGAGGUGGAAGUGCAGCAAUGCAUGGAGCUGACCAAUACUAAUCGGUCGAGGGCUUAUCCUAU